Molecule: small RNA, 993 nt
Filed under: Pan troglodytes (chimpanzee)
Lineage: Eukaryota; Metazoa; Chordata; Mammalia; Primates; Hominidae
Description: retained intron
Source: RNAcentral
AUUGUUUCUUGGGAAUUGUCUGUAUCAGACAUCAUGGGAGCAGAUCCAGGGCGACAUCAAAAGGAAGCAUGAGUCUCCAGGACCAGAGGGGCUUGGAUGCAGAUGAUCAUCAUCUGGGCACUGCUGGAUACUGAGCUCUCUGACUGCCACCCCUGCCUGCCUGCCCGGCCCUGCACAACAUGCAGCCCUCCGGCCUCGAGGGUCCCGGCACGUUUGGUCGGUGGCCUCUGCUGAGUCUGCUGCUCCUGCUGCUGCUGCUCCAGCCUGUAACCUGCGCCUACACCACGCCAGGCUCCCCCAGAGCCCUCACCACGCUGGGCGCCCCCAGAGCCCACACCAUGCCGGGCACCUACGCUCCCUCGACCACACUCAGUAGUCCCAGCACCCAGGGCCUGCGAGAGCAGGCACGGGCCCUGAUGCGGGACUUCCCGCUCGUGGACGGUUCUGGUCAGCCUAUGUGCCAUGCCAGACCCAGGACCGGGAUGCCCUGCGCCUCACCCUGGAGCAGAUUGACCUCAUACGCCGCAUGUGUGCCUCCUAUUCUGAGCUGGAGCUUGUGACCUCGGCUAAAGGUAGGCAAGUUGAUGGGAAGCGUUAGGAACUUGAUUGAGCUACUCCAGCCCUGGAAAGUAAUCACCUGACCUACCUGCCCCCAGCUCUGAACGACACUCAGAAAUUGGCCUGCCUCAUCGGUGUAGAGGGUGGCCACUCGCUGGACAAUAGCCUCUCCAUCUUACGUACCUUCUACAUGCUGGGAGUGCGCUACCUGACGCUCACCCACACCUGCAACACACCCUGGUGAGCCUAGUGCAGAUGGUGUGGGACCGCUGAGGCAGGGGCAGAGAUCUGCCUGAGGUCACUGUGGGCCCAGAACAAGCUUUACCCAUGGGAUCUGGCACUGACUCUGGAGUGGGGAGGGGAGCUGGGAUUCUGGUUUUCAGAAUACGACUUGACCCCUGGCCAGACGCGGUGGCUCAUGCCUGUAAUCCCAAA